RNAcentral lists this ribosomal RNA (253 nucleotides) under uncultured bacterium. RNAcentral describes it as "partial 16S ribosomal RNA". It matches the Rfam family "Bacterial small subunit ribosomal RNA", at positions 524 to 776 of the family's 1533-position model. The record is from RNAcentral.
UACGGAGGGUGCAAGCGUUAAUCGGAAUUACUGGGCGUAAAGCGUGCGCAGGCGGUUUUGUAAGCCAGAUGUGAAAGCCCCGGGCUUAACCUGGGAAUGGCAUUUGGGACUGCAAGGCUGGAGUGUGGCAGAGGAGACUGGAAUUCCUGGUGUAGCAGUGAAAUGCGUAGAUAUCAGGAGGAAUACCGAUGGCGAAGGCAGGUCUCUGGGCUGACACUGACGCUCAUGCACGAAAGCGUGGGGAGCAAACAGG